This 460-nucleotide ribosomal RNA is filed under the name uncultured bacterium. RNAcentral's name for it is "partial 16S ribosomal RNA". It matches the Rfam family "Bacterial small subunit ribosomal RNA", at positions 338 to 795 of the family's 1533-position model. The record is from RNAcentral.
CCUACGGGUGGCAGCAGUGAGGAAUAUUGGUCAAUGGACGAGAGUCUGAACCAGCCAAGUAGCGUGAAGGAUGACUGCCCUAUGGGUUGUAAACUUCUUUUAUCUGGGAAUAAAAUGUUCCCCGUGUGGGAUUUUGUAUGUACCCUAUGAAUAAGGAUCGGCUAACUCCGUGCCAGCAGCCGCGGUAAUACGGAGGAUCCGAGCGUUAUCCGGAUUUAUUGGGGUUAAAGGGAGCGUAGGUGGAUUGUUAAGUCAGUUGUGAAAGUUUGCGGCUCAACCGUAAAAUUGCAGUUGAAACUGGCAGUCUUGAGUACAGUAGAGGUGGGCGGAAUGCGUGGUGUAGCGGUGAAAUGCUUAGAUAUCACGAAGAACUCCGAUUGCGAAGGCAGUUCACUGGACUGCAACUGACACUGAGGCUCGAAAGUGUGGGUAUCAAACAGGAUUAGAUACCCGGGUAGUC